Molecule: small nuclear RNA, 107 nt
Organism: Trichosurus vulpecula (common brushtail)
Lineage: Eukaryota; Metazoa; Chordata; Mammalia; Diprotodontia; Phalangeridae
Source: RefSeq, a predicted model, not a curated record
GUGCUCACUUCAGCAGCACACAUCAUAAAAUAGGAAAAAUACAGGGGAGAGUAAUGUGGUCCCUGCAAAAGGAUGACAAACAAAAUCAUAAAGUUUUCCAUAUUAAG